UUGAUUUGAUCUUGCCCGCUGCAUUGUUUGUUGUAGUAGCAAUUGGCCCGCGGCCUGCCCAGUAGAAUCCAAUAAGCGGCACGUGAAAGCAGCAAAAGACCCCUGGGCCCAACAAAAAGCAGUGAAAGCAGUAGCUAACGAAGGAGUUUCUCUCUGGGCCUGCAGUUAAUUGCGUCACUUUGGGCAAGGCCCAUGACGACCCAGGGCGGCCCGUCUGCGAAUGUAUACGGGUCAGAUACGACGUG
This 245-nucleotide long non-coding RNA is filed under the name Setaria italica (foxtail millet). RNAcentral's name for it is "long non-coding RNA (SITA_LNC001848)". Lineage: Eukaryota; Viridiplantae; Streptophyta; Magnoliopsida; Poales; Poaceae. The record is from RNAcentral.